UACUUGUUGCAACGCUGUAAUCAGUAAAGAAGCUGUCCAACUAACUAAACAGAAAACACGUUAUUUUGAUCCGUAAAAAUCUUUUCUUGUAUUGCAAAAGAAAAAUCUAAAAGGAAACGUUUUAGCAGCACAGAACAAGAAGUGCAUGACGUAAGAAGCACUCGCCAUACAUACUUGCAUAACUUGGGAAAUACUAGUCCAACAUGCCACCUCAAAGAAAACAGAGGAAGAUUGCAAUUAUGGGCUACCGCUCAGUUGGAAAAUCUUCACUGACCAUCCAAUUUGUUGAAAAUCAAUUUGUUGAUUCUUAUGACCCUACAAUUGAAAACACCUUCACCAAACCAUGGAAAGUAAGAGGGCAAGAUUUUGAGCUAAAGUUGGUGGAUACUGCUGGUCAAGAUGAAUAUGCUAUUUUCCCAGCUCAACAUUCAAUGGACAUGCAUGGUUAUGUACUUGUAUAUUCCAUUACUUCAGUUCAAAGCUUUGAGCUGUUACAAGUUUUGCUAGAAAAGAUUAUGGAUAUGACUGGUAAAAUCACAAUACCUCUUGUUAUUGUUGGUAAUAAAACAGACCUUCACCGUGAAAGAGUAGUCAGCACAGAAGAGGGCAAAAGGCUUGCCGACACUUGGAAAGCCUCAUUUUAUGAAGUUUCUGCUAGGUCACACGAGUCUGUCUGCGAAAUUUUUAACCGACUGAUAACGGAAAUGGAGAAAGCAGAUAGCAGUAAUGGAAACGAAAAGAGCAGUUGUGUUCUGUCCUGAACGGGUAUGAAAUGUAGAAAAAUCUACCAGCGCCAAUUUUUUUCCCUUCUAAUAUUACGCAGUUUUUCAUAACGACCGUUAUCUCGGUUUCUUGGAUUUGUGAAGCAACGUUGAAAAGCUUUCAUGGAAAGUUGUAUUUCUCGAUUUUGAAUAUCUAAAAUGACAUGGGGGAAAAGAUGAAAUAACGCAACAGAUCUUUUUUUCUCAGAAAAAGAUACACACCGUGCUGAAAAGUGCAUCGUAGUGGAACUGAACUUAAACAAUGUUCAACGCAUCCGUUCAAGAAGAAUGGUUAAUACAUGUACCCCUACUUCCCUUUCAUCCACCAUAGACAUUUCAAAGAAAAGAACGAAACAAUGUUUCAUUCGUGACAAUUCCCCGAUCCGAUUUUUUCGAUAAUAGAUACAUAAUUAUACACCACUUUAACUUAAAUCCAUGUUCGAAUCACUGGAUCCACCUGCAGCAUUUCCAUGAUGUCCGGAGCCAUCUUUCUGGAUCGAGUCGAAAA
RNAcentral lists this unclassified non-coding RNA (1269 nucleotides) under Daphnia pulex (common water flea). RNAcentral's name for it is "gTP-binding protein Rheb-like, transcript variant X1". Lineage: Eukaryota; Metazoa; Arthropoda; Branchiopoda; Diplostraca; Daphniidae. The record is from RNAcentral.